CUCUAGGAUGUGCUCAUUGCAUGGGCUGUGUAUAUUAUUAUUCAAUACCCAGAGCGUGCAGUGUGAACAUUAAAUAGAGAUU
MicroRNA precursor from Macaca nemestrina (pig-tailed macaque), 82 nucleotides. Ensembl annotates it as microRNA 1912. The record is from Ensembl. Lineage: Eukaryota; Metazoa; Chordata; Mammalia; Primates; Cercopithecidae.